Long non-coding RNA from Misgurnus anguillicaudatus (oriental weatherfish), 754 nucleotides. RefSeq lists it as uncharacterized. The record is from RefSeq and is a predicted model, not a curated record. NCBI's taxonomy places the organism in Eukaryota, Metazoa, Chordata, Actinopteri, Cypriniformes, Cobitidae.
UCGGCCGACGUAAAAAGUUGAAUAAUCACCAAAGUUUAGCGGCUAAAUCUUAUAAAUAAAGAGUAUAUUUUUUAAAACACUCGUCCCCCGCUCUGAGUUUGUUCCUCCCUCUGUCUUCGUUCAACCUACCAGCGUCCGUGAGGGCGGGAAGCUUUCUAAUUGGCUGAACUGAACAGCUUUCAAAUUUCUGAAUAUUUUGAUUGGACGACAGGGAGUUUGAACUGAGCGCUGAUUGGUGGAUGGUCCUUUGAGCUUGGGGUGUAGAGUUGUACAUUGUAACAAAAUGGAGGCAUGUCAGCUAUCGGUGAGAUAUGAGAGGAAAGAUGGACAGGCAACGUCACACGCCGUUUUUUUAAAGUGCGAGGUUUUAAACUAUUGUAAAUCAUAAUAAAGUUGGAUAAUAAUACAUCGAGUCUUUUCUUUCGCGAGGUCAACGUAACAUUUAACAAGAUGGAGCAGAAUAAUAAUUUUGUGUGUUUUAUUUAGACCUUCGUGCCAGGGUGAACUUCAGCAAUACCUCUACAGCGUAAUCCACGAGCCACAAAAACCAUUGAACUGCAGCUUACUUGUGAUUUCAUAGUGUCUGAAGAGCUAAAUGCUGAAGAGCCACAAAAAAGUAACAGCAAGAAAAGCAGCAACAUUUGCUAGGUGUGAAACUGGGGUCAAGUCACGUUGCGCACGUUUUGUAUGUGCGAUUUUGAUCCUCAGGCAAUUUCAAGCACAGAUUUUGUAUUACUGCACAUACGUGUUUUAC